Non-coding RNA from Triticum urartu, 115 nucleotides. NCBI's taxonomy places the organism in Eukaryota, Viridiplantae, Streptophyta, Magnoliopsida, Poales, Poaceae. The record is from Rfam.
UAGAUACUCCCUCCGUUCGGAAUUACUUGUCUCGAAAAUAGAUGUAUCUAGAACUAAAAUACGUCUAGGUACAUCCAUUUCCGCGACAAGUAAUUCCGAACGGAGGGAGUAGAAC